Molecule: ribosomal RNA, 269 nt
Filed under: uncultured bacterium
Lineage: Bacteria
Description: partial 16S ribosomal RNA
Rfam family: Bacterial small subunit ribosomal RNA
Source: RNAcentral
UACAGAGGGUGCAAACGUUGCUCGGAAUUAUUGGGCGUAAAGCGCACGUAGGCGGUUUGGUAAGUUGGAUGUGAAAACCCUGGGCUCAACCCUGGAAGUGCAUCCAAGACUGUCAAGCUAGAGUGUCGGAGGGGGUCGGAGAAUUCCCGGCGUAGAGGUGAAAUUCGUAGAUAUCGGGAGGAACAUCUGUGGCGAAGGCGCCGACCUGGACGACAACUGACGCUGAGGUGCGAAAGCAUGGGGAGCAAACAGGAUUAGAACCGGUACGU